RNAcentral lists this ribosomal RNA (865 nucleotides) under Candidatus Woesebacteria bacterium. RNAcentral's name for it is "partial 23S ribosomal RNA". It matches the Rfam family "Bacterial large subunit ribosomal RNA", at positions 2450 to 2925 of the family's 2925-position model. Lineage: Bacteria; Candidatus Woeseibacteriota. The record is from RNAcentral.
UAACGAAUAAAAGCUACUCCGGGGAUAACAGGCUGAUCGCUUCCGAGAGUCCAUAUCGACGAGGCGGUUUGGCACCUCGAUGUCGGCUCAUCCUAUCCUGGGGCUGGAGAAGGUCCCAAGGGUCCGGCUGUUCGCCGGUUAAAAGGGUACGCGAGCUGGGUUCAGAACGUCGUAAGACAGUAGACCGUGGUGGAAUUUAGACCCCAUCACAAUGAGCUGUCCACUUUCCGAUGUUCAUAUACGAAUCCCAUCGAGAUUAAUAUAAAACUGUUAUAUAUGCGAAAGUAUUCCGUUACAUGCGUAACGUAACGGAAUAAAUCUGACUAUUUGCUGGAAACUCUGAGUAUCCAAACGUACGAGUGAUCGUAAUAAUCGUUUGGUGCAGACAAUCAGCAGGGAAGAUCCUGAGCGAAAUUCCGUUUACGGAAUGGAGUCGAAGGAAACCCUCAGAGACUACAUGUCAGACUUCGACGUAACGUCGGAGAAGAUAUAGUCCGAACUGCAUGGCGACAUGCAGAGUGUUUUAAUUAACACAACGUUCAUAUUUAAUUGAUAAUUAUGACGUGUAACAAAUUUGUCGGUCUCUAUCCAGUGUGGGCGAUUGAUUCUUGAGGGGAGCUCUCUACAGUACGAGAGGACCUAGAGGGACAGAUCCCUGGUGUGCCUGUUGUUAAGCAUUCGUGCUGGCAACGCAGGGUAGCUAGAUCUGGACGGGAUAAGCGCUGAAAGCAUCUCAAGCGCCAAGCCCUCCCCAAGAUGAGGAAUCGUUAUAGACCACCCGUAGAUGACGGGUUUGAUAGGCGAGAAGUGUACGCACCGCAAGGUGUUUAGCUAACUCGUACUAAUCGGUCGAAGUUGUGGGGAA